RNAcentral lists this ribosomal RNA (439 nucleotides) under uncultured bacterium. RNAcentral's name for it is "partial 16S ribosomal RNA". It matches the Rfam family "Bacterial small subunit ribosomal RNA", at positions 339 to 795 of the family's 1533-position model. The record is from RNAcentral.
CUACGGGUGGCUCCAGUGAGGAAUAUUGCACAAUGGGGGGAACCCUGAUGCAGCAACGCCGCGUGGAGGAUGACGCAUUUCGGUGUGUAAACUCCUUUUAUAUGUCAAGAAAAUGACGGUAGCAUAUGAAUAAGCACCGGCUAACUCCGUGCCAGCAGCCGCGGUAAUACGGAGGGUGCAAGCGUUACUCGGAAUCACUGGGCGUAAAGGACGCGUAGGCGGGUUGGAAAGUCAGGUGUGAAAUCCUACAGCUUAACUGUAGAACUGCACUUGAAACUUCUAAUCUAGAGUAUGGGAGGGGGAGAUGGAAUUAGUGGUGUAGGGGUAAAAUCCGUAGAUAUCACUAGGAAUACCUAAAGCGAAGGCGAUCUCCUGGAACAUUACUGACGCUGAGAUGCGAAAGCGUGGGGAGCAAACAGGAUUAGAUACCCCUGUAGUC